This 1197-nucleotide ribosomal RNA is filed under the name Clostridioides difficile. RNAcentral describes it as "partial 23S ribosomal RNA". It matches the Rfam family "Bacterial large subunit ribosomal RNA", at positions 1487 to 2693 of the family's 2925-position model. The record is from RNAcentral. Lineage: Bacteria; Bacillati; Bacillota; Clostridia; Peptostreptococcales; Peptostreptococcaceae.
CUAAGCACACUGUUGGUUAUGUGUGCCCAAGCAUUGAGGCAGUCAAAGUAGGCAAAUCCGCUUUGAUAAUGCUGGGAUGUGAUGGGGAGCGAAAUUUAGUAGCGAAGUAGCUGAUUUCACACUGUCAAGAAAAGUCUCUAUCGAGGUUAAAGGUACCCGUACCGCAAACCGACACAGGUGGGUGAGGAGAGUAUCCUAAGGCCAGCGAGAGAACUGUUGUUAAGGAACUCGGCAAAAUGACCCCGUAACUUAGGGAUAAGGGGUGCCACCAUCAGGUGGCCGCAGAGAAUAGGCCCAAGCGACUGUUUACCAAAAACAUAGGUUUCUGCUAAGUCGCAAGACGAUGUAUAGGAGCUGACGCCUGCCCGGUGCUGGAAGGUUAAGGGGAUCUGUUAGAGCAAUCGAAGCAGUGAACUUAAGCCCCAGUAAACGGCGGCCGUAACUAUAACGGUCCUAAGGUAGCGAAAUUCCUUGUCGGGUAAGUUCCGACCCGCACGAAAGGCGUAACGAUUUGGGCACUGUCUCAACAACAGACUCGGUGAAAUUGUAAUUCCGGUGAAGAUGCCGGAUACCUGCGACAGGACGGAAAGACCCCAUGGAGCUUUACUGUAGCUUGACAUUGGGUCUUGGUACUACAUGUACAGGAUAGGUGGGAGGCUUUGAAACCAGGACGCCAGUUUUGGCGGAGCCAUCCUUGGGAUACCACCCUUGUAGUACUGGGACUCUAACCAUAGGCCAUGAAUCUGGUCUUGGGACACUGUCAGGUGGGCAGUUUGACUGGGGCGGUCGCCUCCCAAAAGGUAACGGAGGCGCUCAAAGGUUCUCUCAGUACGGUCGGAAAUCGUACGUAGAGUGUAAAGGCAAAAGAGAGCUUGAUUGCAAGACAUACAGGUCGAGCAAGGAUGAAAAUCGGACUUAGUGAUCCGGUGGUUCUGCGUGGAAGGGCCAUCGCUCAACGGAUAAAAGCUACCCUGGGGAUAACAGGCUUAUCUCCCCCAAGAGUCCACAUCGACGGGGAGGUUUGGCACCUCGAUGUCGGCUCAUCACAUCCUGGGGCUGUAGUAGGUCCCAAGGGUUGGGCUGUUCGCCCAUUAAAGUGGUACGCGAGCUGGGUUCAGAACGUCGUGAGACAGUUCGGUCCCUAUCCGUCGCAGGCGUAGGAAAUUUGAGAAGACCUGUCCUUAGUACGAGAGGACC